UCCUGCUGGUCUGGCCGGGGCUCGCCUGGCUGCGGUCCCGGCGGCGCGACCGCGAGGCGCUCGGACUCGCCCUGCUGGUC
This 80-nucleotide transfer RNA is filed under the name Methylobacterium mesophilicum. Its description in RNAcentral is "tRNA-Arg". Lineage: Bacteria; Pseudomonadati; Pseudomonadota; Alphaproteobacteria; Hyphomicrobiales; Methylobacteriaceae. The record is from RNAcentral.